GGGUUUAUAGUCCAGUGGUAGGAUACUCCCUUAGGGUCGAAGAUCAUUUGGGAGUGGUCCCCGGUUCGAUCCCGGGUAAACCCC
Molecule: non-coding RNA, 84 nt
Organism: Tulasnella sp. 419
Lineage: Eukaryota; Fungi; Basidiomycota; Agaricomycetes; Cantharellales; Tulasnellaceae
Source: the annotation of a GenBank genome assembly